This is a long non-coding RNA of Aphis gossypii (cotton aphid), 387 nucleotides long. RefSeq lists it as uncharacterized. Lineage: Eukaryota; Metazoa; Arthropoda; Insecta; Hemiptera; Aphididae. The transcript is spliced from 3 exons. The record is from RefSeq and is a predicted model, not a curated record.
AUAUCUUUUGAUUAUUCAGUGUUAUAUAAUCUAACGCACAAGACAGUACGAGGUUUUUUCGGCUACGAAAAAGAGCUUAAAUAACGAACGCACAAAUCACAACAUAUAAGAAUCAUCCAGCUGUUAAACAUGACUGACACCAACACCGACAACAGCAUCCAUAACGUAGAAUAUGAUAUAAUACAGAUUUUAAACGAAUCACCGAUAACUAGCCCCGUCUCAUUAAAUAUGUCAAAUUUAUUCACUUCGUAUAGUGCUAUAACUCCACCUGAAGCAUUUUCUACGGAAUCAUACUCACCAGAUAUGUUCCCUUCGUCAUCGGAACUGGUGGAUGGAAAUCAACAGAGAGAAUUUUCCCCUAGUAUGUUGGACUUGCCGCAGUUAAGG